Molecule: non-coding RNA, 1138 nt
Organism: Salvelinus sp. IW2-2015
Lineage: Eukaryota; Metazoa; Chordata; Actinopteri; Salmoniformes; Salmonidae
Source: RefSeq, a predicted model, not a curated record
AGCAGUGUGAACAGCCUUCCAUAAACCCUUUGUACAGCUGCUGCACCUCAACAUCUAGACUUCCGGAACAAUCCCUCUCCUUCUGGGCCAAACACAACCUCUGAAUAGCUUUCUACCGUGUUCGUAUCCUUCCUGACGAAUCAGACAGUCAGAGGACUGAGAAGGAUGCAGAAUGGCAGCUCCAACUACAACAUUUGAAGAUGUGACGGACUCCUGUCAGCUAGCAAUAUUGCGAAGGUCGGGGAUACAGUCAACUUCUACAACACCUGGGCAGACAACUAUGAUCAGGCCGAGUAGUGUCUGCAAAAUGCCUGUCCUGUUUCCAUGGUGACGGGGAGACAGCUAUGGUUCUGGACUACCGGAAUGGUCGCAUCACUGCUGAAGAAAAUGGGCUUCAGGCAUUUUGUGGGCGUUGACUGGAGCAAAGGCAUGCUGGAACUGGCCAAUAAGACGGGCCUCUACCAGGACCUCAAGCAAUGCAUGCUGGGAGACUAACCACUUCAUAACCAAGCUGGUACCACAGAACUUUGAACUUUAUAUCAUUUAUAAUAUGGAUCAUGAUCAGCUAAAAUCUUUGAAUUGAAACAAAGUGGCACACAGAGAAGGAAGGGAGCUUCCCUGAUGUGCCCUUUCAUUAUAUUCCUCUCUCUUCAUCCUCUUGUCACAUGCUUUUCCCACUCAGAAGCGAGAGCGAUGGAAUUUUCCUUCCAAAUGAUCCUAUUCACUUUUCAAAGGGGCAUUCUGCAGUUUCUACAUUUUUUUGAAUUCAGUCAGAAGAGCAUGUCCUCUGGCAGUGAGGCCUCUCCUUACUGCUUUUUCAAACAUCUUUCAGUAACUUCUCUCAUCAUCCUCCUGUCAUUCUCUGGGCCACAGGCAACUUUAGUGUUGCUGUGGUCUCGCAGGAUCUUGACUCUCUCACUCUCUCGUUUCUCUCUCUUUCGUUACUCUCUCUCUCUUUCAUUUCUCUUUCAUUUCUCUCGUUCCUCUCUCUCGACCACUCCCGGCAGGUGUGUUUGAUGUGGAGGUGAUCGUCUGAGUUAUGGCUCAUGGUUAGGCAUGGUCAGCUGAUAUCUCAAAGUGCUGUACAGAAACCCAGCCUAAAACCCCAAACAGCAAGCAAUGCAGGUGUAGAAGCACG